RNAcentral lists this non-coding RNA (74 nucleotides) under Gordonia hirsuta. The record is from RNAcentral. Lineage: Bacteria; Bacillati; Actinomycetota; Actinomycetes; Mycobacteriales; Gordoniaceae.
GGAAGCCGGUGCGAAGCCGGCACGGUCGCGCCACUGUGAGGCUGCCGGCAUCCCCAUGCCCUGCCGAGUCAGAC